Molecule: RNA transcript, 2352 nt
Organism: Quercus lobata
Lineage: Eukaryota; Viridiplantae; Streptophyta; Magnoliopsida; Fagales; Fagaceae
Gene name: wall-associated receptor kinase 2-like
Exons: 4
Source: RefSeq, a predicted model, not a curated record
AUGACUGGCCUGAUGUUGUCCAAGCACUCCACUUCCUCAUGCCAUCAUCAGCAAAUUGUAAAGCUCCUAACACUGUGGGUAGUAGAAGCAUCAAUUGUCAACACCAACGCCUUGCCUUUAGCCAAGGACGGCUGUGAAGACCAUUGUGGCAAUGUCAGAAUUCCAUACCUAUUUGGCACAAGGGAAGGAUGCUACGUCAAUGAUAACUUUCUCAUCACUUGUAAUCACACAUACAACCCUCCCUUGGCGUUUUUGACAGGUAGUAAUAUAAAUGUGACAGACAUAUGGCUUUCGGGUGAAAUGCGCAUAUAUGCCUUAGUAGCCAAUGAUUGCUACAACAGAACUGGUGGGAGUGUAGACUACUUUCAACCUUGGUUCAGAUUGGGAAAAUUCUCAAUCUCCAACACUCGAAACAAGUUCAUGGCUAUUGUGUGUGACACAUAUGCUGUGAUAAAUGGUUCUAGAGGGACAAGCUACACAACUGGGUGCAUGUCUUUAUAUGAUGGCACGAGAGAUGUGGUUGAGCGGUCUUGCUCUGGUAUUGGUUGUGAAACUGCUAUUCCAAGAGGAGUAAUGGAUUUCAAUAUCAGUGUAUCGAGCUAUUACAACCACAAGAGAGUGGGAAUUCAAUCCUUGCAGCUAUGCUUUUGUGGCAGAGGAAGGUACUUACAACUUCUCUACAGAAGAUCUUCUAAAUUUUAAGGGAGGUCAUAUGAUGCCGAUGGUGCUAAAUUGGGGAAUAGGAGAUCAAAAUUGCAGUGAAGCUAAAAAGAGUUUUGAAAGUUAUGCAUGCAUGGCUAACAGUGAGUGUCAUGACUCGGACAAUGGUCCAGGGUACCAAUGCAGUUGUUCCAAGGGAUACCAAGGCAAUCCUUACCUUAAGGAUGGCUGCCAAGAUAUUGAUGAGUGCUUAAAUUCCACCACAUGCGUCCAAAACUGCACCAAUUUGCCUGGUACUUAUAAUUAUUCCUGUCAGCUACCAGGAUAUGAUGGCGAUGGUAAAUGGGAUGGAACAGGUUGCAAACUCAUACCAAGCCCUGGGAGGUUUCCAUUGAUUAAUAGGAAUUCGCUAGUAAUGUCUGGGAUAAAGGUUAAGCCUUGUUGUGAUGACAAGUGUCUUCAACCAAAACUUCAAUUCGUUGCAAAAUGUGUAGGUGUUAGUGUCAGCCUGGUGGUUCUAGUUUUGGGCGUUUCUUGGUUAUACUGGGGACUCGAGCAAAGAAAGCUCAUCAAGCUCAAAGAGAAGUUUUUUAAACAAAAUGGUGGCUUUCUACUGCAACAACAACUUUCUAAGCACAAUGGAUCUAUUGAGGCAACUCAAAUAUUUACAGUAGAAGAACUUAAGAAGGCAACAAACAAUUACCAAGAAAAUAGAAUCCUAGGCCAAGGAGGCCAAGGAACGGUUUACAAAGGAAUAUUACCAGAUAACAAAAUAGUUGCCAUUAAGAAGUCCAAAAUAAUAGAUCAAAGCCAAGUUGAACAAUUUAUUAAUGAAGUGUCUAUUCUCUCCCAAAUUAACCAUAGAAAUGUGGUAAAGUUAUUGGGAUGUUGUUUGGAGACCGAAGUUCCUUUGUUGGUGUAUGAAUUUGUUACCAAUGGUACCCUUUUCAAUCACAUUCACAAAACGGACCGUUCUUCAACGUUGCAAUGGCAAUUAUGUUUACAAAUAGCAGUUGAAACUGCAGGAGCACUUUCUUAUUUGCAUUAUGCUGCAUCCACUCCCAUCAUUCAUAGAGAUAUCAAGAGCACUAAUGUACUCUUAGACGAUAAUUACAAAGCUAAGGUAUCUGAUUUUGGAGCUUCGAGGCUAGUUCUCUUGAUCAUACUCAGUUAACCACACUAGUGCAAGGGACGCUUGGAUACUUGGAUCCAGAAUACUUUCAUUCAAGCCAAUUGACUAGAAAAAGCGACGUUUAUAGCUUUGGAGUUCUCCUAGCAGAGUUGCUAACUGGAAUGAAGGCACUUUCUUUUGAGAGACCUGGAGAAGAAAGAAACUUAGCCAUGCAUUUUGUCUUAUCAAUGAAUGAAAGCCGAUUGUUUGAAAUUCUAGAUCAACAAAUGCUGAAUGAGGGAAAUGUUGAGCAACUUAAUGAAGUUGCGAUGUUAGCUAAGAGAUGCUUAAAAGUGAAGGGAGAGGAGAGGCCUACUAUGAAAGAAGUUGCAAUGGAGUUAGAGGGCUUGAAAGCAAUGACAAAGCAUCCAUGGGUUAAAGGCAAUAUGAGCUCAGAAGAGACUGAGUACACUCUCCAAAAACCAUAUGAUGAUUGUGUUAGUGGUGUCAGUGGUAAUUCUACAUGUUAUGACAGCAUAAGGAACCAAGUCAGCAUAUCAAUACUUGAUGAUGGCAGAUAA